This 234-nucleotide ribosomal RNA is filed under the name uncultured bacterium. RNAcentral describes it as "partial 16S ribosomal RNA". It matches the Rfam family "Bacterial small subunit ribosomal RNA", at positions 15 to 233 of the family's 1533-position model. The record is from RNAcentral.
GAUCAUGGCUCAGGAUGAACGCUGGCGGCGUGCCUAACACAUGCAAGUCGAACGAGAUGCGUAUUGGAAAGCUUCGGCCAGAAGAUACGUUAUCUAGUGGCGGACUGGUGAGUAACACGUGGGUAACCUGCCUUAUGGAGGGGGAUAACAGAGAGAAAUCACUGCUAAUACCGCAUAAGCACACAGUACCGCAUGGUACAGGGUGAAAAGAUUUAUCGCCAUAAGAUGGACCCG